GGAGGGAGAAAACGUGGCCUUACCACAAUGAAGGGUACAGUCUGUAUAAAUAGGUGGGCGACAAAAAGGGGCGGUUCAAAGGGCGUGGUCAAUAGGCAGAGUCAAGGGGGGCAGCAAAAUUAGCUUUUGCCUAGGGUGGCAAAAAUCCUUGCACCAGUCCUGGCUGAAGUUGUCGCUGUUUUG
Bufo bufo (common toad) is the source of this 183-nucleotide long non-coding RNA. RefSeq lists it as uncharacterized. Lineage: Eukaryota; Metazoa; Chordata; Amphibia; Anura; Bufonidae. The transcript is spliced from 3 exons. The record is from RefSeq and is a predicted model, not a curated record.